CAAAGUGAAAACUGGUUUGGGUUUGUGCAAGCUCAGACAAGAUCUGUUGAGCACACCUCUGGGAAAAUUCACUUUUCUUAAGAGGGCGUGAAUUUUUUGCCUUCCAUGUGUGUGUGUGUGUGUGUGUGUGUGUGUGUGUGUGUGUGUUUUGUUUAAACUGCCUUCGUAUAGAUGUGCAAGCGUGACUUCAUGUCUGGAAAAAGCCCUGUUUCAGGAAGUCUGAGUGCCGCAAAUGGUGUAACACAAGAACCAGGAUGCGCAGCCACGUGUCCAUCCAAAGCCAAGUCCAACGCAGGACCAAGACCCGGGUUCUGUCCUUUAGCUCUGAGAUCCUUCCUCUUCUUGCCCUUCAGCCAGCCCAAGGCCCGGCCCAGGGAGUGACUGCGUUUUUUCCUCCCUUUAUUACUGUGCUUCUCUUGAGCAAAGAUCUCAACCACAUCAUGGGGAAUCAGCUCCCCGAAUCCCAGAGAGUCACGGUUUGACAUCCCACCACUUUCUGGAAAUAUUCCCUGGAAAAAAAGAACAAAGCCCAUGUUGUUCCUGGGAUGUUUUAAAGCUUUAUUGGACACACCACAAAAGUAACUAUAGUGACAGUGACAGAUUAUUCACCAUAAACAGGUUUAGAGCCUAUAGUGUACAUUAGUGGGUCUGUGUGUGUUGUUGUGUUUGUGAGUCUCUGUGGGCACGACGCACAAGGCAGCCAACUUUGGUCCCCUUUACAGCCUCAAACCAAACUUUUUUAAGUUCUGCAAAGAAAGGCCUGGCACCGCUCCCUUCAUUCCACAACAUGGAGUCAUGACUCACAAGCCACACCCCAAAACCCACACACCGACACACACACACACUUACUACACACGAACACACCAGGAAGCUAAAAGCAGGGAUAUAAACAAUCCCUGUAGAGCAUCAAAGUUCACAUCUGAGCAGCUUCAUGUUAUUUUCAAUCAUUUUCGCUCUUUCAUCUUUUUUCAUUCUCCAUGAGCUCAUUGCAUUCCCUCUUCCUCCCUCCUUUACCUCACUAAACUCCUUCUCCUCUUGGGGAUCUAAGAGUCUCUUCAUACUUUAUUAAAUAUUCUACUUUGAGUCUAAAUACAGUUUUACAGGAAUAUGGUCACGUAUAAUGAACGUUGAGAAUGACAGAUUAUUGAAUCCUUGCUUCAUUAUUCAAGCAAGUUGCUCAAAUGUUGUUGGUUCAUGCAACCCCCCUACCCCAGAAACUAAUUUAAGCAUGACCAAACGUCAUAGCUUGUGACUCCUUCAGCAUGAAUCACAUUAAAAGUAAAAUUCCCCCACAGUGCCUGUCAGCCCCUGCAAUAAACACUACGCAGUUGUUUAGGGCCACGUCAUUCACAUGGUCACUUUAGUAGCUGAUCAUCAACGUAGUCUGCAGGUGUUGCUUGUUCUACUUUGAUAGACUGAACCGUCUAAAGAAUAAAAUUAUACUUUGUUUCUGCUAAACUACUAAGUCAACAUGUCUUUUGUGAUAGUUUAAGUUGGGUAAAAAAGGGGAAAAAAAGGACCUAAGAUUGAACCUUGAGGAACACCACUAAUAUAACAAAAGAAGUUGAACAAAUGACUACGGACUGCAUUUGUAAUAAGCAAACGACAGCAACACCUUAGUUACAUAAAUCACAUUACAAAAUAAUUUUUCAUGGCCAAAAAAGGAGAGGACUUAAAAAGCCCUGAGGAACACCUCAGUUAUGUGAAUCACAAGUUUGGCCCCAAUAUUCCAGGAUGUCAAGGCAAGGAUCUGCCAAUGUGUUUACAUUGGCCCAAGUUCCUCUUUACAACACAGAGCACUCUUGUGUUUUUAGGAAUUUGCGGCAAAAAUGUUUGUCUCCCAAGUUUUAAACCGAAGUCGGGGUGGGAACGGCCUCAUUCUUGGAAUAGCCCUGCACUGGCAUGUUACAACGGUAAUAUUAAAGUAAAAAAAGUUGCCACAAACAAAACCUUGUUUAGGGCCAAAAAAAGCCUAAAACUAACCCUGUUACAAAAUAAACACAGGGUGUCAACAGUCAAAGCAGCAGACAUAAAUCAGUUUGGAAGAAAGAUCAUGAACAUUUUUGGGCAACUUUUUAGCUAUCACAGCACGCCAAAAGCUGUGUAGGACAUUGUGGAGAAAUGGGAGGGAAUAUGCCAUAAAAUACUAUAAAAGUUAAAUGCCUGCCUAAAAAUAUAUAUACACAGCUUCGGUAGGUGGGGUUUCUUAUUUUCACAUGGAAAAGUUCCACUUGGCUACUAGUGUUCAUCACAGUGAAAGGCCUUUAACAAGACAAUGCAUACAUUUUAUGAGGCAAAAUUACCAGGUCUUCCUUGCUGCACUGAUCCCGGUGUUUCUGCAGCUCUAAAUUACAGUCAUUAAGGCGAUGACAAAGACCUGGGUAUGUGUAUAAGAUCCCCAAGAUUUAGAAGCUUUUCUUUGGAAACAAGGCUUGCCUCAUUUGUUUACAGCCCAGGGGCUGCUGUGAGCGCCACAACCUCCCUGAUUAUUUGCUCCAAAGGGGAACCAGAGUAGUUCCUCUGUCGUAGGAUAUGGCGAAAGGACCACCCAGUGACUUGCCCUGCAGUCGGCUCUCAAGGAGUUGACUCACGCUGCUUGCUAUUUCCACGGUUACACUUAAAAGCCUGUGAGUAUUAGUCUUGCCGACAAGUUUAAAGAAGGAAGAAACACUAAGAAUAAAACUGUCAAACCUUGGAAAUUAA
Molecule: long non-coding RNA, 2703 nt
Organism: Nerophis ophidion (straightnose pipefish)
Lineage: Eukaryota; Metazoa; Chordata; Actinopteri; Syngnathiformes; Syngnathidae
Exons: 2
Source: RefSeq, a predicted model, not a curated record